AAAUUUUGGUGUGAUAAGAUUAAUGUUGGUGAAAUCUGGACCAUUUAUUUUCUAAUCUCAUAUCUACCAUUCAUUUCAAAGAACCCUAAGAGAUCACAUUUUUCUAUUCCAGUUCUCUACCAUCACCACUCUCCAUUUUUUUUUCUUCUUUCCUUCCUCUUUUUUCUUUCCCCGUUCUCUCUCCAUACCCAUGCGCAUCACCCAUCUCAACAAUAUCGCAACUAUCAGUCGUCACCGGCGAUGACGCUACCGAUCGACGUUGUUUUUCUCUUUCUCUCACUUUCCCAUCUUCACCAUGGUGUGUUCGGGUAUGCCAUGGUGUGUUCGUCGACCCAGAACCGAAGCAUGAAGGCUUACUCCCUCCUUAAGAAGUAAGGAUUUGACGUGUCAUCCUACGGGAUGGGGGUGUACGUCAAGCUCCCUGGACUUUUUUUUUUCCAUCUUUGAGAAUUAUAGGUAAGGAAAGACUCAUGUUCUUGUUAUUUCUUUCUUUCUUUCUCUCUCUCGUCUUUUUUUGAGGACACAAGCUUCAAUUUUAACCCAUUUUUUUCAGGUAGAUUUUCUGGGUUUUUGAUGUUUGUGAUCAUUUGGGUGUCUGAUCAGUUCAAUCCCAAUUGGGGUUUUGGUUUCUUGUGCUUUGACUUUGUUGCAGUGACGAAUUGGGUUGGGUUUUUGGUUUAAUCUCUCUAUGGUGUCUGCGUUUUUUUUUUUCAUUUUUUGGAUCGGAUUAUCAGUUUGUGUUUUUCUUUAAUCUGAAUGGGUUUUAAGUUUCACUGUUGUCUCUUCUAAUCUAUCUUCUCUUUGCAAAUAUGUUGUUCAUUCCUUCUGGUGUUAUACUUUAUUUGCUAUUGAAGCUAUUAGGCUUUUCGAUUUUGUUUUUGUUUAACAUUUUUUAAUAUAAUCACAUGAAAGUUUAGAUUUUUGGGUGAUAUUUCUCUGUUUCAGAAUUUGUUAAAGGUAUUACAACAAGGAAUACAGAAUUUUCUGAUGUUACUUUUUCAUGGAUAGUGGGAAAAAUAGAGGAAAAGAAAAGAAAAGAAAAUUUUGAAUCACAAGUUUUACACUGUCUUAAUUUUGAAAAAAAUGGAAAAAUAAAAACCCACCUUAGUAGAAUCAAAUAGUCAAUUAGGUGUAGUUGAGUGGAAAUAAUUGCUUUCUAAAGUCCCAAAUGAUGAGAAAUCUUGGAUUCAAAACUUAUUCUUAUCUUUUCCCGUAUUUUCAAGGAACCAAACACGAGCACCAAUAGUUGAUCUGAAUCUAUUGAUAUGAUUAUUAAAUUACAUCUUGGAGAGCAUUGGAAUCAAUAUUAAGAGUGUCGUAACAUGAAUUUUGUGGGGGCUGCAUUGAUGUUAGAUGUAACAUUUUACUACUUGAUCAUGCUUACGUUGAUUUCUGAACUCAUUCAAUUUCAUUUGUUGUAGGUAUUGAGGCAUUUGGUUCCAAUUUGAUGCUAUAGUUUGUUGGUUUCAUCUCAAUUGUUGGUACAUGUUCAAUGAUCUCUACCGCAAAGACCCCAACCUGUAUCAUCUUUCUUCCAUUUCUAGGUUUUUCCCGUUUGUUUCCCAAGAAAAAAACAUUAGCGAGGGAAAUAAAAAGAAUUAUUUAUUUAUUUAUUUAUUUUAACCAAAUGGGUUGUGUGGUGGUUCUUUAAAGGCGGUUGAAAGAUAUUUGGAUCAUGACUAUGAUAUUUUUUAAAAAAAAUUAUUUGCUUACAUUUUCUCACUAUCCAAACGAGAAGUUUUAUAGAUGUUUGAUGCAUUGCUUUGUUUGUUUUUUUGUUUGGUUAAUUUUUGCAUUUUUGUGAAAGACUACCUAAUGUGGACCAUGUUAAAGGUUGUGGACAAUGUAAAUUUGCCUUGUCCUCUGUUUGAUAGUCAAGAAGACGAGGGAAAAAUUGUUUCGAAUGGUUUCUUUUGGUUUUCUUUUUUGGUCUCCACCAAAGGGGGAAAUUGAAAACUUGCAAUUAGACUAGAUAAUUGUGUUAAGCUUAAUUGAAAGUGAUGUGAAACCUAAAACAAAUCAUUCUGUUAGGCUAUGAAUCUAAAACUCAAAAUUUAGCAUUUGUUCUUACUGACCGAACAAAGCAUUUGAGUAUUUGUUUUAUAUUGAAAUUUGUGUAAAGUUCCUGAAUAGAAUCUUAAACUCCUUUGGUUGACAAAAUAUGGUUGUAUUGAGGUCUGUUGUUAAUGUUCAUAUUGGAGACUAGGACAAACCAGAAACUAAAGGAAGCUCUUAAUUCUUGUAUAGAAAUCAAUACUAUUUUUUUUUUUUAAAUUCUUGCUGAUGAUUAUUUGAUUUGCUUGGAACCUUAAAGCAAAAUGAAACCUUAAUGACAACACAUCUACAAGCAUAAUGGCAUCCUACCAAUGCUUAAAAGGAAUUCAUCAAUCAAAACCACACCUCAACGCUAGCAAGAUAAUGUUGCCGAUGGGCCAUUCGAUGUGGUAUUCACAUUUGAAGAAAAGGUUUUUGAUAUGAUUGUUGAAGGUUAAUGUUUGCAUUUUUGUUUUGUUUCUAACGCAUCAUAUAUUAUAGAUAGGUUAUUGAGCAAUCUUAAAAAUAUUUGAUUGUAGUUAGAUAUUUAAUUUCUCAAUUUGAGCUUUUCAUUUUCUUAACAUCGUUUGUUUUUUCUAUCAUAGGUUUGAGAUAGAGGUAUUAGCAAUUUUAGGGUCUUUCUAGAGGGUGGUGCUUGAAGAUUAAUGCUAGAGAUAUGGUAUUCAAGAAAUAUAGCAAAAAAGAAGAAGAUGAUGAAGAAUUAAUGACCACCUCUUACGAAGAUAGUAUUGUACUUUUCAAUUUAAGUUUGUAUAUUAUCUUAAUUGAAUAUUUGUAAUUAGUUUUUCUUUUUGUAUAUAGAAAAUAGAGAGUAAGUAGAAAAAGAUUUAUUCCAUUAUGUUUUUAGUAUUCAAAUGUAUCUAUAAUAAUUUUUUCCCUUGAGUAAUAAUUUAUUUACAUUGUUUUA
This is a long non-coding RNA of Vitis vinifera (wine grape), 2962 nucleotides long. RefSeq lists it as uncharacterized. The record is from RefSeq and is a predicted model, not a curated record. Lineage: Eukaryota; Viridiplantae; Streptophyta; Magnoliopsida; Vitales; Vitaceae. The transcript is spliced from 2 exons.